RNAcentral lists this ribosomal RNA (253 nucleotides) under uncultured bacterium. RNAcentral describes it as "partial 16S ribosomal RNA". It matches the Rfam family "Bacterial small subunit ribosomal RNA", at positions 524 to 776 of the family's 1533-position model. The record is from RNAcentral.
UACGUAGGCAGCGAGCGUUGUUCGGAAUUACUGGGCGUAAAGAGUGUGUAGGCGGUGCUCUAAGUUCGGUGUGAAAUCUCCCGGCUUAAUUGGGAGGGUGCGCCGGAAACUGGAGUGCUCGAGCGUGGGAGAGGAAAGCGGAAUUCCUGGUGUAGCGGUGAAAUGCGUAGAUAUCAGGAGGAACACCUGCGGUGUAGACGGCUUUCUGGACCAUUGCUGACGCUGAGACACGAAAGCGUGGGUAGCAAACAGG